RNAcentral lists this ribosomal RNA (301 nucleotides) under uncultured bacterium. Its description in RNAcentral is "partial 16S ribosomal RNA". It matches the Rfam family "Bacterial small subunit ribosomal RNA", at positions 509 to 807 of the family's 1533-position model. The record is from RNAcentral.
CAGUAGCCACGGGAACACGUAGGGUGCAAGCGUUAAUCGGAAUUACUGGGCGUAAAGCGUGCGCAGGCGGUUUGUUAAGACAGAUGUGAAAUCCCCGGGCUCAACCUGGGAACUGCAUUUGUGACUGGCAAGCUAGAGUGUGGCAGAGGGGGGUGGAAUUCCGCGUGUAGCAGUGAAAUGCGUAGAUAUGCGGAGGAACACCGAUGGCGAAGGCAGCCCCCUGGGCCAACACUGACGCUCAUGCACGAAAGCGUGGGGAGCAAACAGGAUUAGAUACCCCCGUAGUCCCUGUCUCUUAUAC